GAUGAAGAACGCAGCGAAAUGCGAUACGUAGUGUGAAUUGCAGAAUUCAGUGAAUCAUCGAAUCUUUGAACGCACAUUGCACCUCUCGGUAUUCCGGGAGGUAUGCCUGUUCGAGCGUCAUUUGUACCCUCAAGCUCUGCUUGGUGUUGGGUGUUUGUUCCGCCUCUGUGUGUGAACUCGCCUCAAAACAAUUGGCAGCCGGCGUACUUGUUUCGGAGCGCAGCACAUUUUGCGAUCCAGAUCAACGUACAGCGGCAUCCAAGAAGCCUUAUUUAACGCUCUUGACCUCGGAUCAGGUAGGGAUACCUGCUGAACUUAAGCAUAUCAAUAAGCGGAGGA
RNAcentral lists this unclassified non-coding RNA (339 nucleotides) under soil metagenome. Its description in RNAcentral is "partial contains 5.8S ribosomal RNA, internal transcribed spacer 2, and large subunit ribosomal RNA". The stretch from base 1 to 120 matches the Rfam family "5.8S ribosomal RNA", at positions 35 to 154 of the family's 154-position model. The record is from RNAcentral.